Molecule: long non-coding RNA, 1109 nt
Filed under: Homo sapiens (human)
Lineage: Eukaryota; Metazoa; Chordata; Mammalia; Primates; Hominidae
Description: HSALNT0207393
Source: RNAcentral
CUCUUAGCUACUCGGCCCAAAGACACACCACCAGCUCUUAGCUGCUCGGCCCAGAGACACACAUCUCUCUUUUCUCCUGGCGGCGCUGGUCCUGUCUCUCAUUCUGCCGAGGAGCAGCCAGUACAUCAAGUGGAUCGUCUCUGCGGGGCUUGCCCAGGUCAGCGAGUUUUCCUUUGUCCUGGGGAGCCGGGCGCGAAGAGCGGGCGUCAUCUCUCGGGAGUGUGCCCGGAGAGCUGGGUGGAGGUUCCUGUGGACACUGAGAUGGCCCUGGGCAUUCGGACUCACGGCCUUGUCUCCUUGCAUUGUGUGUACCUCCUUAUACUGAGUGUGACCACGCUCAGCCUCUUGCUCGCCCCGGUGCUGUGGAGAGCUGCAAUCACGAGGUGUGUGCCCAGACCGGAGAGACGGUCCAGCCUCUGAUGGCUCGGAGAUGAUGGACCGUGGAAGGGAAGCGUCUGUGGGGAGUGAGCGCUUAGAUGGCCAGCAGCUGCUCCUUCUGGGAAGCUCGCACCUUGGCAACAGAACAGCCCUCUAGCAGAGCGUCAGUGCAGUCGUGUUAUCCCGGCUUUUACAGAAUAUUCUUGUCCUAUUUUAGAAUUUUCCGGAGUAGUUUAUUUGCAGUCUGUUGAUUAUGUGCAGUAGACCCGGGACACUGCGUUUUACCGAUCACCUUGAAUGUGGUGCCUGGAUGUGCCUUUUUUUUUUUUCCCUGAAAUUAUUAUUAAUUUUCUAUUGUGAGUUCAUCAGUUCAUAGUUUUUUUAGUAAAGAAGCAAAAUUAAAAGGCUUUUAAAAAUGUACAACUUCAGAAUUAUAAUCUGUUAGUCAAAUAUUUGUUAUUAAACAUUUCUGUAAUAUGAAGUUGUAAUCCUGGCCGUGAGCUUGGAAGCUUACUUUUGAUUCUUAAAGCCUAUGUUUUCUAAAAUGAGACAAAUACGGAUGUCUAUUUGCCUUUUAUUGUAACUUUUAAAUGAAAUAAUUUCAUGUCAAUUUCUAUUAGAUAUAUCACUUAAAAUAUUUGGUUUUAAAUCACAAGAAUAUGUAUUCUUUAAUAAAGAUAAUUUAUGAUCAUGGUAUAAUUAAUUGAAAUUUAUUAAAAUCUGUUUUUAUU